Molecule: long non-coding RNA, 548 nt
Organism: Carassius auratus (goldfish)
Lineage: Eukaryota; Metazoa; Chordata; Actinopteri; Cypriniformes; Cyprinidae
Exons: 3
Source: RefSeq, a predicted model, not a curated record
AAUCAAAUAAAGUUUAAAAGUUUAAAUAUCAGACAAAGAUAUUGGUAGAAUUGGUUAUCAGUCACUCUCUAUUCAUAUUGACUCUCUCUUCUCUUUAGAUGUUCCAGUUUCAGGUCGGUCUUCAGCUUUUUCAGCAGGAAUAGCUGUUGCUGUCGUUCUGCUUUUAGCUGUGUGUGCUGCGUUUGUGAUUUACUAUCGCAAGCAUCAAGAGAGAAGAGAAGACAUCGGGAUGCAGAACAUUGGUCCGGUGAAUCAGAAUGAUGCUCCAGUGAAUCAAGAGUCCUUACUGUAGGAGACUGCCACAUACUGUUGAACAUGGAUGGGACAUCCUUUAAUAAGACUCUGGCUGAUUAUCAUUACAUCAUUUAUUACACUGAUACUUUAAAAGGACAGUGUAGAGGCAGUGGAAAAUCGAGAAAAAAAGCAUCAGUUGAAACCAGAGGUGGAUGAGAGUAUCAUUCACUGUGAAGUUUACACUGUGAUGUACCUGAAAGAAGAACAUUAUGGUUAUAUAUGACAUGAGAAUAAUUUAUGAAGAAUAUAUAUAU